This 482-nucleotide ribosomal RNA is filed under the name uncultured bacterium. RNAcentral describes it as "partial 16S ribosomal RNA". It matches the Rfam family "Bacterial small subunit ribosomal RNA", at positions 29 to 507 of the family's 1533-position model. The record is from RNAcentral.
AUUGAACGCUGGCGGCAUGCCUUACACAUGCAAGUCGAACGGUAACGGGCCUUCGGGUGCCGACGAGUGGCGCACGGGUGAGUAAUACAUCGGAACGUGCCCGAUCGUGGGGGAUAACGAGGCGAAAGCUUUGCUAAUACCGCAUACGAUCUACGGAUGAAAGCAGGGGACCGCAAGGCCUUGCGCGGACGGAGCGGCCGAUGGCAGAUUAGGUAGUUGGUGGGAUAAAAGCUUACCAAGCCGACGAUCUGUAGCUGGCCUGAGAGGAUGAUCAGCCACACUGGAACUGAGACACGGUCCAGACUCCUACGGGAGGCAGCAGUAGGGAAUCUUGGACAAUGGGCGCAAGCCUGACCCAGCCAUGCCGCGUGCGUGAUGAAGGUCUUCGGGUCGUAAACUGCUGUUGUACGGAACGAAAAGCCGUGUAUGAAAACAGGCGGGUCAUGACGGUACCGAAAGAAAAAGCACCGGCUAACUACGUG